This 253-nucleotide ribosomal RNA is filed under the name uncultured prokaryote. Its description in RNAcentral is "partial 16S ribosomal RNA". It matches the Rfam family "Bacterial small subunit ribosomal RNA", at positions 524 to 776 of the family's 1533-position model. The record is from RNAcentral.
UACGAAGGGGGCUAGCGUUGUUCGGAAUUACUGGGCGUAAAGCGCGCGCAGGCGGUCUUCCAAGUCAGUGGUGAAAGCCCGGAGCUCAACUCCGGAACUGCCAUUGAAACUGUAAGACUUGAGGACGAGAGAGGUGAGUGGAAUUCAUGGUGUAGCAGUGAAAUGCGUAGAGAUCAUGAGGAAGACCAGUGGCGAAGGCGGGUCUCUGGACAGUUCCUGACACUGAGGCACGAAGGCCAGGGGAGCAAACGGG